This 926-nucleotide unclassified non-coding RNA is filed under the name Neodiprion lecontei (redheaded pine sawfly). RNAcentral's name for it is "uncharacterized LOC107224075, transcript variant X5". Lineage: Eukaryota; Metazoa; Arthropoda; Insecta; Hymenoptera; Diprionidae. The record is from RNAcentral.
UGGCGAUGAUGGCGAUGGUGAGGCUGAUCUUGCGUUUUUCAAAACCAAGCAUGGGAUAUCUGAUCGCAUCGAAGCUUUGGUUAAAUCUUGAGAUAUUGGAAGGAUUAACUUGAUGUUGACAAGUUCCGCAAAAAGUUAUGCGUCUUCUUGAGAUUCCAGUUAUAAGAUGUGGUAAAUUACCACAUGUUCUACCCAGAAAAUGAUCUGUUUUGCGCAUACGCCAAAAAAGAUAGGUUGAUUGAUAGAUGCUCCAGUGGACAAUCUGCAUACUACCAACGCAAUGGUGCGUCUAAAAGUUUGAAGGUGUACAUUUUUGUUUGAUAUUAUGAUCAAGAAUGAAACUGAAUAAGCUCAUUUCCUAAACUUCCUAUACCUGCUAAUGCUAUAUGAAUAUGUUAAUGUUAAUAAAUGAGCUGCGAAUAUGCCUUAUUGUUAAUUAAAACUUCUGAAGUAAUCUGUACUACUUUUGAAUAUGUACGAAAAUAGAAGACAAUUGAAGGAAUACUUCUAAUUUUAUUUAUUUCAAUCUACCUUACUUCGAAUGCAGAUUAUAUUUGUUAAAAUAACUACCAUGUGUUUCAAUAUGUAUACCCCAUUUAGGGCAAUCUACACAUCAUACCAAGUUCUACAAUUUGAUACGUUUCGUAUUGUCCAUUUUCUUAGACACAUUCACGUAAUAUAAUUUUCUCUAAUAAAUCAACAUCUUUUCAACCUACCAAAAUAUCACAGUAUUAGUUAAAUUCAUUUACGAUUUUCAUGAAGGUGAAACUAUCGUUAAUCAUUAGUCAACCACAUAGGCAAGAUAAUGGAGUCUUACAGUUCGGUAAUUUUAUUUAAUUAUUAGCAAAGUUUAAUACCGUCGUUGCGGGGCGGCGAUAGGUACUGAUAGGCACAAAACAGAUCUGUGCUAGAUACAGAUUCGUCAC